GCCAGCGUAGCUCAGUGGUAGAGCAACUGUUUUGUAAACAGUAGGUCGUCGGUUCAAAUCCGACCGCUGGCU
This 72-nucleotide transfer RNA is filed under the name bacterium. Its description in RNAcentral is "tRNA-Thr". It matches the Rfam family "tRNA". From Rfam's summary of the family: Transfer RNA (tRNA) molecules are approximately 80 nucleotides in length. RNAcentral also lists the same sequence under 1 other name. The record is from RNAcentral.